AUUGCCUUAGUAACGGCGAGUGAAGCGGCAACAGCUCAAAUUUGAAAUCUGGCCCUCGGGUCCGAAUUGUAAUUUGUAGAGGAUGAUUUUGGUGCGGUAUCUUCCGAGUUCCUUGGAACAGGACGCCUUAGAGGGUGAGAGCCCCGUACGGUUGAAUGCCUAGCCUCUGUAAAUCUCCUUCGACGAGUCGAGUAGUUUGGGAAUGCUGCUCUAAAUGGGAGGUAAAUUUCUUCUAAAGCUAAAUAUUGGCCAGAGACCGAUAGCGCACAAGUAGAGUGAUCGAAAGAUGAAAAGCACUUUGAAAAGAGGGUUAAAUAGCACGUGAAAUUGUUGAAAGGGAAGGAUUUGUGACCAGACUUUUUCUGGGCGGAUCAUCCGGGGUUCUCUCCGGUGCACUUUGCCCAGUAAAGGCCAGCAUCGAUUUUUGGCGGCGGAUAAAAGCAGUGGGAAUGUGGCUCCCUACGGGGAGUGUUAUAGCCCAUUGUAUAAUACGCUGCUGGGGAUCGAGGUACGCGCUUCUGCAAGGAUGCUGGCGUAAUGGUUAUCAAUCACCCGUCUUGAAACACGGGCCAA
RNAcentral lists this ribosomal RNA (573 nucleotides) under Pestalotiopsis sp. CBG_III16CCH. Its description in RNAcentral is "eukaryotic LSU rRNA". It matches the Rfam family "Eukaryotic large subunit ribosomal RNA", at positions 74 to 669 of the family's 3401-position model. The record is from RNAcentral. Lineage: Eukaryota; Fungi; Ascomycota; Sordariomycetes; Amphisphaeriales; Sporocadaceae.